Molecule: ribosomal RNA, 497 nt
Filed under: uncultured bacterium
Lineage: Bacteria
Description: partial 16S ribosomal RNA
Rfam family: Bacterial small subunit ribosomal RNA
Source: RNAcentral
GAUGAACGCUGGCGGCGUGCCUAAUACAUGCAAGUCGAGCGAACAGAUAAGGAGCUUGCUCCUUUGACGUUAGCGGCGGACGGGUGAGUAACACGUGGGUAACCUACCUAUAAGACUGGGAUAACUUCGGAAAACCGGAGCUAAUACCGGAUAACAUUUGGAACCGCAUGGUUCUAAAGUGAAAGAUGGUUUUGCUAUCACUUAUAGAUGGACCCGCGCCGUAUUAGCUAGUUGGUAAGGUAACGGCUUACCAAGGCAACGAUACGUAGCCGACCUGAGAGGGUGAUCGGCCACACUGGAACUGAGACACGGUCCAGACUCCUACGGGAGGCAGCAGUAGGGAAUCUUCCGCAAUGGGCGAAAGCCUGACGGAGCAACGCCGCGUGAGUGAUGAAGGGUUUCGGCUCGUAAAACUCUGUUAUUAGGGAAGAACAAACGUGUAAGUAACUGUGCACGUCUUGACGGUACCUAAUCAGAAAGCCACGGCUAACUACGUG